RNAcentral lists this ribosomal RNA (769 nucleotides) under Leuconostoc sp. AJ7. RNAcentral describes it as "bacterial SSU rRNA". It matches the Rfam family "Bacterial small subunit ribosomal RNA", at positions 69 to 824 of the family's 1533-position model. The record is from RNAcentral. Lineage: Bacteria; Bacillati; Bacillota; Bacilli; Lactobacillales; Lactobacillaceae.
GCGAAAGGUGCUUGCACCUUUCAAGUGAGUGGCGAACGGGUGAGUAACACGUGGACAACCUGCCUCAAGGCUGGGGAUAACAUUUGGAAACAGAUGCUAAUACCGAAUAAAACUCAGUGUCGCAUGACACAAAGUUAAAAGGCGCUUUGGCGUCACCUAGAGARGGAUCCGCGGUGCAUUAGUUAGUUGGUGGGGUAAAGGCCUACCAAGACAAUGAUGCAUAGCCGAGUUGAGAGACUGAUCGGCCACAUUGGGACUGAGACACGGCCCAAACUCCUACGGGAGGCUGCAGUAGGGAAUCUUCCACAAUGGGCGAAAGCCUGAUGGAGCAACGCCGCGUGUGUGAUGAAGGCUUUCGGGUCGUAAAGCACUGUUGUAUGGGAAGAACAGCUAGAAUAGGGAAUGAUUUUAGUUUGACGGUACCAUACCAGAAAGGGACGGCUAAAUACGUGCCAGCAGCCGCGGUAAUACGUAUGUCCCGAGCGUUAUCCGGAUUUAUUGGGCGUAAAGCGAGCGCAGACGGUUAAUUAAGUCUGAUGUGAAAGCCCGGAGCUCAACUCCGGAAUGGCAUUGGAAACUGGUUAACUUGAGUGCAGUAGAGGUAAGUGGAACUCCAUGUGUAGCGGUGGAAUGCGUAGAUAUAUGGAAGAACACCAGUGGCGAAGGCGGCUUACUGGACUGUAACUGACGUUGAGGCUCGAAAGUGUGGGUAGCAAACAGGAUUAGAUACCCUGGUAGUCCACACCGUAAACGAUGAACACUAGGUGUU